UACGUAGGUGGCAAGCGUUGUCCGGAUUUACUGGGCGUAAAGGGAGCGUAGGCGGACCUUUAAGUGAGAUGUGAAAUACCCGAGCUCAACUUGGGUGCUGCAUUUCAAACUGGAGGUCUAGAGUGUCGGAGAGGUAAGUGGAAUUCCUAGUGUAGCGGUGAAAUGCGUAGAGAUUAGGAGGAACACCAGUGGCGAAGGCGGCUCUCUGGUUUGUAACUGACGCUGAGGCGCGAAAGCGUGGGUAGCGAACAGGAUUAGAUACCCUGGUAGU
This 271-nucleotide ribosomal RNA is filed under the name uncultured prokaryote. Its description in RNAcentral is "partial 16S ribosomal RNA". It matches the Rfam family "Bacterial small subunit ribosomal RNA", at positions 524 to 794 of the family's 1533-position model. The record is from RNAcentral.